GGUCACUAUUGCAUAGUGGCUUCCCCAGCAAUUUCCCACCGAGUUCAUUUGCCUUGGACUGGAAGAUGGGGGGCUGCUCAGGUCAUGAGAGAUCCCUGUGUCAAGGUCUGCUUCUGAGAAACCUACCCUCCUGAGACAGCCUUUCCUCACUGAAGACAGCGACUUGGAUCUGGGAGAGUGUGGCUAGAACGACUCAGGCGUCUCUUCCUUCAUUAAUAAGUCACUGGAGGCUAAUUCCUGUCUUUCCGUGUCCACGAAAAUGCCAGCACUUUGUCCUGUUGGUGAGUAGCAACUGAUAGAACAUAUGCUUUUGUAUGUACAAUGAGUCCAAAUUGGAACCCAAAUCCAAAAGUGCACAUUUUUAAAAUUUCACCUCCAAAAGACGUUCCCUCUUCCCAAAGAUAUAUGACUGGGGUGUCCCAUUCAACCAACGUGGGGCACAAGCCAGCCAUUAUCUUUUCUAUUCUUUAAUCACUCAACUCCCAUCUUCCCUUCUCAUCUGGAAGAAGUUUCCUCCUUUGGACCUUCUCUAUCUCCAUCUCCCGAUACUCUUGGGCCUUACAGACUUAAAGAGGUCAGUCCUACCUUUAAAUGCCUGAUGGAGCGAGAGCAAGAGCCUGCCCAAUCUUGUUCCUGCUAUUGCUUCUGUGGCUGCCAUAUGGUGUCACGUUGAAAACUGGUCCUGCAGAGUUGGAUGGAUGCUCCUCCAUUGGGAUCAGAGCCACAGCGCCUGCCACGCAGGCUGCAGCCCAGCUUCAUGGGUGCUGUUCUCACUCACAGCCAUGUGACCACAGGAUACAAACAUGCCGUCUGCAGCUGUUACAACUAUGCACAGAGACGUCGCUCUGCUCGUACAAGCCUUUGCACAGCCUGUGGUGCCCCAGCUCAGGCUCCAGUUCUUUGAUCUGCAUUCACACGCUCAGCAGAUUCCAUAUGUAAAGUUGAAAGAACAUCUAGCCCCAGCUCCUCUCCCCACCCCUCACUCUCCCCCACACCUCACACCCACGCACACCAGCCUCUAGGCCAUGCUGGUGAGCCUGGAUCCACAGCCUAGGCCUCCCCUCCUCCAUAGUGAGCUCAGCUUUGCUCCCUGCAGUGUCCUUUGAACAAGGGGCCUCAGAAUGACACAGUGCACCAUGGAGGCCCUAACAUCUCUGAACAUUAGCAGCUAGGGGCACAAUUACUAAUGCCCCCUCUGUUCCCUAGUCACCCAGCUCCCACCUUCCCAUCCCCUCCUCCCCAGAAGCCUAUUAGAGACAGGAUUGUACCUUCAAAAUUCAUAUGUUGACAACCUAAUCCCCAGGACCCCACCCUAGGACCUUUUUCGGAGAUAGGGCCUUUAAUGAAGGUAAACUAGAGGUCACAUGGUGAGCCCUACCUUAGUAUGACCAGCAGAGUCCUUAAAAGAAGAGGGCAUUAGAUCACAGACCUGCACAGAGGGAAGACCAUGUGAGGACACAGGAAGAAGACGGCCACCUGCAGACAAGGAGAGAGGCCUCAGAAGAAAGUUACCCUGCUGACACCUUACUCUUGGACACUUGGCCCCCAGAAUUGUGAGAAAGUAAAUUUCCGUAGUCUAGGCCACCCAGUUUGUGGGACUUUGUUAUGGCCAUCCCAGCAGAUGGCUAGAAAGCCCCUGGCAAACCUUCCCCCCUGCCAGCUCUGUCUCCCAAGGGGUACUGGGAAGAGGCAUCUUUGUUCACACUCAGAGGGUGUCUGCUUUUGCCCUGGGAUGACGUUGCCCCUCACCUGACAUUUUUCAUGACGAAGAGGAACCAUUCUCUUGUUCAAGGUGCAUCCUGCACUCCUCCCCCACCCCCAGCCAGAGAAGGGCCUGGAAGUGUCUUCCUCUAUGACCUCUCAUUACUCAUGACCAAAAUAACCAAGUUUUGCAACGACCACCUCCAGCAACCCACUCCCCACCUCGGGGUCUAAGGGCUUUUGUCUUGUCUUGAGCCCUGAAGCAGUGCUGGUCCUCCUGAUACUGGAUACUGUAGUGUGGUAAGGACUCUACCUACUGCUCUAUUUCACCUUCCAGAAUUGGAGAAGGAGUCUGCAGAAUGUUACUUAAAAAAAAAAAAAAAA
This 2085-nucleotide long non-coding RNA is filed under the name Sus scrofa (pig). RNAcentral's name for it is "lncRNA (ENSSSCG00040010745.1)". The record is from RNAcentral. Lineage: Eukaryota; Metazoa; Chordata; Mammalia; Artiodactyla; Suidae.